AUUGAACGCUGGCGGCAUGCCUUACACAUGCAAGUCGAACGGCAGCACGGGAGCAAUCCUGGUGGCGAGUGGCGAACGGGUGAGUAAUAUAUCGGAACGUGCCCAGUCGUGGGGGAUAACGUAGCGAAAGCUACGCUAAUACCGCAUACGAUCUACGGAUGAAAGCGGGGGAUCGCAAGACCUCGCGCGAUUGGAGCGGCCGAUAUCAGAUUAGCUAGUUGGUGGGGUAAAAGCUCACCAAGGCGACGAUCUGUAGCUGGUCUGAGAGGACGACCAGCCACACUGGAACUGAGACACGGUCCAGACUCCUACGGGAGGCAGCAGUGGGGAAUUUUGGGCAAUGGGCGAAAGCCUGACCCAGCAAUGCCGCGUGCGGGAUGAAGGUCUUCGGAUCGUAAACCGCUGUCGCCCGGGACGAAAUAUGACGGUACCGGGGGAGGAAGCCACGGCUAACUACGUGCCAGCAGCCGCGGUAAUCA
This 479-nucleotide ribosomal RNA is filed under the name uncultured bacterium. Its description in RNAcentral is "bacterial SSU rRNA". It matches the Rfam family "Bacterial small subunit ribosomal RNA", at positions 29 to 525 of the family's 1533-position model. The record is from RNAcentral.